UACAGAGGUCUCAAGCGUUGUUCGGAUUCAUUGGGCGUAAAGGGUGCGUAGGCGGCGCGGUAAGUCGGGUGUGAAAUCUUGGAGCUUAACUCCGAAACUGCAUUCGAUACUGCCGUGCUUGAGGACUGGAGAGGAGACUGGAAUUUACGGUGUAGCGGUGAAAUGCGCAGAUAUCAGGAAGAACACCCGUGGCUAAGGCGGCUCUCUAGUACGGUACUGACGCUGAGACGCGAAAGCGUGGGGAGCGAACAGG
This 253-nucleotide ribosomal RNA is filed under the name uncultured bacterium. Its description in RNAcentral is "partial 16S ribosomal RNA". It matches the Rfam family "Bacterial small subunit ribosomal RNA", at positions 524 to 776 of the family's 1533-position model. The record is from RNAcentral.